RNAcentral lists this ribosomal RNA (468 nucleotides) under uncultured bacterium. RNAcentral's name for it is "partial 16S ribosomal RNA". It matches the Rfam family "Bacterial small subunit ribosomal RNA", at positions 28 to 507 of the family's 1533-position model. The record is from RNAcentral.
GACGAACGCUGGCGGCGUGCUUAACACAUGCAAGUCGAACGGAAAGGCCCUGCUUUUGUGGGGUGCUCGAGUGGCGAACGGGUGAGUAACACGUGAGUAACCUGCCCUUGACUUUGGGAUAACUUCAGGAAACUGGGGCUAAUACCGGAUAGGAGCUCCUGCUGCAUGGUGGGGGUUGGAAAGUUUCGGCGGUUGGGGUUGGACUCGCGGCUUAUCAGCUUGUUGGUGGGGUAGUGGCUUACCAAGGCUUUGACGGGUAGCCGGCCUGAGAGGGUGACCGGCCACAUUGGGACUGAGAUACGGCCCAGACUCCUACGGGAGGCAGCAGUGGGCAAUAUUGCACAAUGGGCGGAAGCCUGAUGCAGCAACGCCGCGUGCGGGAUGACGGCCUUCGGGUUGUAAACCGCUUUCGCCUGUGACGAAGCGUGAGUGACGGUAAUGGGUAAAGAAGCACCGGCUAACUACGUG